Molecule: long non-coding RNA, 247 nt
Filed under: Glycine max (soybean)
Lineage: Eukaryota; Viridiplantae; Streptophyta; Magnoliopsida; Fabales; Fabaceae
Description: long non-coding RNA (GMAX_LNC000045)
Source: RNAcentral
AAUCUACAUAAUAAAGACUAACCAACACCAGACACACCUGUAGCAUCCUUGAUUUUACCUAGGGUCAACAUAACAACCAAUGGUUCCUGAAGCAGAAGGUUUUUGUCAAUAGCAUCAUGUAGCUGAAUAGCAUAGUCCUCCCAAACAGUUAUUAGAAUGUCGCAGUUACUAUGACCAAACAAUCACAAUCAGUAUGUUAGUUGUUGCUAACCCAUUCAUCAUAUCAUAUAUCAUCAUAUAAAAUAAU